CUUCUAGUCUGCCGCCCGCGCGAGGCCGCCCCCGGAACCCCGCCCCCUACGACCCGCAUCGGCUCCAUCCGCCGCCGGGCCCUUACGCUCCUUCACCGGCGCCUUAGCGCCGGUAAUCCGCCUCCCUGGAGCAGCCGCUGCCACCGUGUUCGCCCCGGACACGCCCACCGCCACGCGGCCGGGCCUGCUCUAGGUCGUUCUCUGCUCCAGUUAGAGCACGCUGUAGGAGUUUGGCUCGUGUGUUUUGCUGGAGAAUUUCUUCGCGGAGAAAAAUCAUCCCUUGGAGCACUCAGAAAACUCCCUCCUUGGCUCCCUUCCACACAUGGUUGGGAGCAGCUCAGGAUGUGAGGGAAAUCACUCAAGUGGGCAUUUACUCAAGAGUCAUGUUAGCUACAAAUGACAGAGCUGAGACCUUUCUGCGUGGGGUUUGGAGCUAAUUCAUAUUCACAAAAGAACAUUGGGCAGGUGUAUGCAUCUACGAAGCCAAAGGAACCGUGCAAGGAAAAGAGCUAAUUCCCAAAGGAGGCUAAAUCCCGUUUUUCCUAAACGUUUCUCACCCUCCACCCCUACUGGUUUGUCCCCUGUUCCUCGCCUUAGUCCGAAUCUCUCUCAUCCCACGGCCCUUCUUUCCCCAUCUCCAAUGCCCUGUCCCUCUCCAGGCGAAAAGGCAGCCAAGCAGUGGCCUGAAAAAUUUCCAGAUACACUUCAAGGAUAAUUUAAAUUUCCUGGAAACUAUCAACCAAAAAUUAGCUGUUGAAAACCUAUGCAUUUGGUACUGGGCUGAACGUCAUGGAGAACCCAACUUUUGCAGCCUGGGGUGUGAAAUUUAUGCAAAUAAUUCUAUUGUUUAGUAGCUAAGCCGUGUCCGACUGUUUGUGUACCCCGUGGACUACAACACAGCCAGGCUUCCCUCUCCACCAUCUCCCCGAAUUUGCUCAGACUCGUAUACAUUGAGUCCGUGGGGCCAUCCAACCAUCUCAUCCUCUGUUGCCCCCUUCUCCUGCCUUCACUGUUACUAAACAUCAGGGUCUUUUCCAAAGAAUGGGUUCUUCGCAUCAGGUGGCCAAAAUGUUGGAGCUUCAGCAUCAGUCCUUCCGAUGAAUAUUCAGGGUUGAUUUCCUUUAGGAUUGACUGGUUGGAUCUCCUUGCUGUCCAAGGGACUCUCAAGUCUUCUCCAGCACCACGUUGCAAAAGCGUCAGUUCUUCAGUGCUCAACCUUCUUUACGGUUCAGCUCUCACAUCCAUACAUGACUACUGGAAAAACCAGAGCUUUGACUGUAGACAUCUCUGUCAGCAAAGUGAUGUCUCGGCUUUAUAAUACACUGUCUAGGUUUGUCAUAGCUUUUCUUCCAAGGAGCAAGCAUCUUUUGUGCUUAAUUGCUCAGUCGUGUCCAACUCUUUGCAACCCCAUGGACAGAGAAGCCUGGCGGGCUAUACAGUCCAUGGGGAUUCUCCAGGCAAGAAUACUGGAGUGGAUUGCCAUGCCCUCCUCCAGGGGAUCUUCCCAACCCAGGAAUCGAACCAGGGUCUCGUGCGUUGCUGCUGCUGCUGCUAAGUCACUUCAGUCGUGUCCGACUCUGUGCGACCCCAUAGACGGCAGCCCACUAGGCUCCCCAUCCCUGGGAUUCUCCAGGCAAGAACACUGGAGUGGGUUGCCAUUUCCUUCUCCAAUGCAGGAAAGUGAAAAGUGAAAGUGAAGUCGCUCAGUCGUGUCCCACUCUUCGAGACCCCAUGAACUGCAGCCUACCAGGCUCCUCCAUCC
Bos taurus (domestic cattle) is the source of this 1762-nucleotide long non-coding RNA. The record is from Ensembl. NCBI's taxonomy places the organism in Eukaryota, Metazoa, Chordata, Mammalia, Artiodactyla, Bovidae.